GACGAACGCUGGCGGCGUGGAUUAGGCAUGCAAGUCGAACGGUAUCAUCCUUUCGGGGGUGAGAGAGUGGCGAACUGGUGAGUAACACGUAGGUUAUCUACCCUCAAGACGGGGACAACCCAGGGAAACUUGGGCUAAUACCGGAUGUGAGCAACUUUUAGUUGUUUGAAAGGUGGCGUAAGCUGUCGCUUGGGGAUGAGCCUGCGUCCUAUUAGUUAGUUGGUGAGGUAACGGCUCACCUAGGCAAUGAUAGGUAGGCGGCCUUAACGGGUGGUCGCCCACACUGGGAUUGAGAUACGGCCCAGACUCCUACGGGAGGCAGCAGUCGAGAACAGUCUACAAUGGUCGGAAGACUGAUAGUGCGACGCCGCGUGAACGAUGAAUCCCUUCGGGGUGUAAAGUUCUUUUAUAUGUGAGCAGUGCUUCUUAUAUUAACAGUAUGGGGAGAGAGAUAUUAGCAUAUGAAUAAGCAACGGCUAACUCCGUGCCAGCAGCCGCGGUAAAA
This 505-nucleotide ribosomal RNA is filed under the name uncultured bacterium. Its description in RNAcentral is "bacterial SSU rRNA". It matches the Rfam family "Bacterial small subunit ribosomal RNA", at positions 28 to 525 of the family's 1533-position model. The record is from RNAcentral.